GUGGACGCCAGUCUGCAUGGAGCCGGCCUUGAAAUACCACCCUUUAAUGUUUGAUGUUCUAACGUGGACCCGUAAUCCGGGUUGCGGACAGUGUCUGGUGGGUAGUUUGACUGGGGCGGUCUCCUCCUAAAGAGUAACGGAGGAGCACGAAGGUUGGCUAAUCCUGGUCGGACAUCAGGAGGUUAGUGCAAUGGCAUAAGCCAGCUUGACUGCGAGCGUGACGGCGCGAGCAGGUGCGAAAGCAGGUCAUAGUGAUCCGGUGGUUCUGAAUGGAAGGGCCAUCGCUCAACGGAUAAAAGGUACUCCGGGGAUAACAGGCUGAUACCGCCCAAGAGUUCAUAUCGACGGCGGUGUUUGGCACCUCGAUGUCGGCUCAUCACAUCCUGGGGCUGAAGUAGGUCCCAAGGGUAUGGCUGUUCGCCAUUUAAAGUGGUACGCGAGCUGGGUUUAGAACGUCGUGAGACAGUUCGGUCCCUAUCUGCCGUGGGCGCUGGAGAACUGAGGGGGGCUGCUCCUAGUACGAGAGGACCGGAGUGGACGCAUCACUGGUGUUCGGGUUGUCAUGCCAAUGGCACUGCCCGGUAGCUAAAUGCGGAAGA
This 599-nucleotide ribosomal RNA is filed under the name Salmonella enterica subsp. enterica serovar Stanley. RNAcentral describes it as "partial 23S ribosomal RNA". It matches the Rfam family "Bacterial large subunit ribosomal RNA", at positions 2164 to 2762 of the family's 2925-position model. The record is from RNAcentral. Lineage: Bacteria; Pseudomonadati; Pseudomonadota; Gammaproteobacteria; Enterobacterales; Enterobacteriaceae.